CCUACGGGGGGCAGCAGUGGGGAAUAUUGGACAAUGGGGGGAACCCUGAUCCAGCCAUGCCGCGUGUGUGAAGAAGGCCCUCGGGUUGUAAAGCACUUUCAGUGAGGAAGAACGCCUGGUGGUUAAUACCCAUCAGGAAAGACAUCACUCACAGAAGAAGCACCGGCUAACUCCGUGCCAGCAGCCGCGGUAAUACGGAGGGUGCGAGCGUUAAUCGGAAUUACUGGGCGUAAAGCGCGCGUAGGUGGCUUGAUAAGCCGGUUGUGAAAGCCCCGGGCUCAACCUGGGAACGGCAUCCGGUCCUGUGAGGCUGAUGGGCAGGAGAGGGAGGCAGGAUGCCCGGGGCAGCGGUGACUUGCGCAGAGAGCGGGAGGAGGGGCGGUGACGAGGGCCUCCAUAGGGACUGACGAUGACACUGAGGUGCUAACGCUUGGCUAGCAAGCAGGAUUCGACAAACUGGUACUC
This 465-nucleotide ribosomal RNA is filed under the name Vreelandella stevensii. Its description in RNAcentral is "partial 16S ribosomal RNA". It matches the Rfam family "Bacterial small subunit ribosomal RNA", at positions 338 to 795 of the family's 1533-position model. Lineage: Bacteria; Pseudomonadati; Pseudomonadota; Gammaproteobacteria; Oceanospirillales; Halomonadaceae. The record is from RNAcentral.